AAAUUAGAAAGCCGGCCCUGCCCCAUACAGAUUGUCAGUACUGAUGGAGCGCUGUGCUUUUGUUCGCAAUUGAUAAACAAAUAAGCUCCAUGCUUGACAGAUAAUAACAAAAACACAAGGGGUUUGUUUGAGACAAUGAGUGUUGUAGUCAUAUUUCUUCCAACAUUUUUGUACGGAAGUGAUUCAGGACUACUUCAUGGUCUUUAUGUGCAGCAGAACACAGUAAAGGUUUUCUAUGUUACUCAUUUGACUAAUACUUGUCAUUCGGUGUCCAAGACGCCGAAACGGAAAAGAUGUAUUGGCUACUACGCAAGAACUAUUGAUAAUGAAUUUACGACACUUCCAAACGAAAAAGGAAAUUGGCUGAUGUUAAACUUCCAAGAGCAUUCGGUUAUUCUGACAAAAUUAAUAAUAAGUGGGAACCCCGUCACAUUGAUGAAGGGGUGCCGUGUGAUAUGUGUGUUUUAUGAUUAUCAUAAAUUUUUUGCUUCAGAAAUCCUUUGUGAAGGACUUGAGAGCACUACUGGCUUCAGUUCGGAUUACUGCAGAUUUUUAGCGAAUUUCUUGAAGUUAGAUUCUGGAGCAAACGCCCCCGAAAGCCCCAAGUGUUUGGAUUUUUUUGUCAGAGUAGCACAGAGAGCACGGCAAUAUUUGCUAGCUGUGGCCGCUUUUGUGACACCAGUCGUGAGACACACAUCAACAGGUUUACACUUGUGUGACAUCCUUAAUUCAACUGCAUGGCUUUUUGGCCAUGUGGCGCAUUUCAAGAAACCGACACUUAAAAUGGGCAACUUCCUGUUGGCUCUCUUGAUAGACGUCUUCUGUGGCCUUAUGUUAGUUCGUCUCAUUGUAGAACCGCUUACAGUGAACACUCCAUUUUCGAAAAUGCUUCUUGAUAUGGCAGAGGUCGUUGUCACUACACUCAGAGACUUGUUGCAUUGGCUGAUGGGUGUACCAGCCGGUUUGAAGCUGAACUAUGCAUUAAACAAUAUGCUAGGAAAAUUUUUCCUAUACCACAUAAAUCUUUGGUGGAUGUUUCUUGUUCUUUGUAAACCUUGUUUGGACUUGGCUGUUCAUAUGCUGACAUGGCUUGGAUGUUUAGGAGUUACAUUCCAAAUAUGCCUACUGGCUGAUCUGCUAGAUCUUGUCAGUUUUCAUGUAUACUGCAUAUAUGUUUAUGCUGCAAGGCUCUACAGUGUGCAACUGUCAGGUCUUGUUGCUUUGUGGCGGCUUUUCCUUGGCCGCAAGUGGAAUCCGUUGCGAGAGCGUGUUGAUUCCUGCAAAUAUUCGAAUGAUCAACUUUUUGUUGGAACUCUGGCAUUCACCAUUUUGCUCUUCCUUCUCCCAACAACGCUGAUGUACUAUGUUGUCUUCACAACGUUGCGUUUACUGGUGUUGAUAUUUAGAGGAGUCCUAGCUCAUUUCACUUGGUUACUGCGAGCAUUUCCAGCAUAUUCCACAGUUCUCUGGAUGACAAGAGCAACUACAGUCACAAGCUCCGUGCAGGUUUCAGUAUGUACAGAAAUAUCUGGAAAUGGUCCUCUCUAUCUUGCUGUUGAACCAGUAAUAGGUUCUUGGUGGUCAACGGUAGUUCGCGGUGUUCCUGAUUCGCUGCAACGUCCACCACCUGUGCAGUGGAGUCAGCUACUCAAACACUUAUGCACUGGAAGAUUGUAUAUCCUGUUUAUAUUUUCUGAAACAGAUACUAUGUAUCUGUUAUUAAUGACUGUGAAAGUGAUGAUCCUGAUUACAAAGACAGUACCCAUCGUCUAAUUUUGGAGAGAAGAUAAGGCUACCCAGAACUGAGAAAAAAGGAACUACCGCCCACAUAUGCAGCUCUUUAGCAAGCAUCACAGACUAAGGGUAGCCGGAGCAGACUGACUGCCCUGUAAGGAGAAUUGCGGUGGCUGGAAAUUCAGAAUUUUUGCACUGUGAAAAUGUGGCAUGGGAAGCAAAAAUAAGUUGCAGUUCUUACUGAGUAAGGCUACCAAUAGAAUCCUGUUAAUCUGUAGCUAUUACAAUGAAAGGAACCCACAAGACAAGAUUCAGAGACUCUUGUUUUAGGUUAAUGUAAAGGAAAAAGACAAAGGUUUGCUUCAAAUCAAUCAUCUUUAAUGAGAAUAACAGUACAGCCUACAAAUGAAUAUGGAGUAAUGGCCACUUGUGUAAGCGUACUGCUUUGCUGUAGUGAUGAUCAAUCACUGUAAUUUAAAAAGCUAAUUCGUCAGUUGAAAAAGGAACAUGUCCAGCAAAUGCAGAAGUAAUUGUAUCUAAAUAAACAGCAAAAAUCACAUAAAUAUUAAAACAUUACACUCUGAAUAGGAAAAGAAACAAAAAUUAAUAUCCAAACUCAAGAGAUUUUUUUAAAAAGACAAAGCAAGCAUGUUUAAUUUUUAGACAGUACUAUAGUUGCAAUACAAGUACAUUUAAAAUAUUUGUUUGCAGUGAUUUAUUAUAAGUUUCCUUGGCUGAAUUUGUACUUUCACUAUUGUAGACACUUUCCUCUCCCACCACCCUCCCAAAUAUGGUUUAUUACCCUCCAUUUGCAUGGCAUGUUAUCUGAUUAUAUCCUGAUUUAAUUUGUUGAGAGGGUCAAUCCUUACCUUUCAAAAAUAUCACAUAAAUUUUGAAGAUCACAAAUAAUCUUAUCACAAAAUUACAACUGCCAGAGCUGCAAUGUUGUUCACUUUAUUUAUUUCAUAUUUUUAAUUUUUUUAAAAUUUUUGCUUACAGUCCUAAAUACUACUAGAUUUCAUCAUACUU
Molecule: RNA transcript, 2763 nt
Organism: Schistocerca piceifrons (Central American locust)
Lineage: Eukaryota; Metazoa; Arthropoda; Insecta; Orthoptera; Acrididae
Gene: PIG-Q
Exons: 8
Source: RefSeq, a predicted model, not a curated record